GAUCAUGGCUCAGAGUGAACGCUGGCGGCGUGCCUAAUACAUGCAAGUCGAACGGAGAUUAAGUAGCUUGCUAUUUAAUCUUAGUAGCGCACGGGUGAGUAAUGUAUAGUUAAUCUGCCCCAUAGUGGAGGACAACAGUUAGAAAUGACUGCUAAUACUCCAUACUCCUUCUUAUCAUAAGUUAAGUCGGGAAAGUUUUUCGCUAUGGGAUGAGACUAUAUCGUAUCAG
This 229-nucleotide ribosomal RNA is filed under the name uncultured bacterium. Its description in RNAcentral is "partial 16S ribosomal RNA". It matches the Rfam family "Bacterial small subunit ribosomal RNA", at positions 15 to 244 of the family's 1533-position model. The record is from RNAcentral.